Molecule: ribosomal RNA, 486 nt
Filed under: uncultured bacterium
Lineage: Bacteria
Description: partial 16S ribosomal RNA
Rfam family: Bacterial small subunit ribosomal RNA
Source: RNAcentral
AUUGAACGCUGGCGGCAUGCCUUACACAUGCAAGUCGAACGGCAGCACGGGUGCUUGCACCUGGCGGCGAGUGGCGAACGGGUGAGUAAUACAUCGGAACAUGUCCUGUAGUGGGGGAUAGCCCGGCGAAAGCCGGAUUAAUACCGCAUACGAUCUACGGAUGAAAGCGGGGGACCUUCGGGCCUCGCGCUAUAGGGUUGGCCGAUGGCUGAUUAGCUAGUUGGUGGGGUAAAGGCCUACCAAGGCGACGAUCAGUAGCUGGUCUGAGAGGACGACCAGCCACACUGGGACUGAGACACGGCCCAGACUCCUACGGGAGGCAGCAGUGGGGAAUUUUGGACAAUGGGCGAAAGCCUGAUCCAGCAAUGCCGCGUGUGUGAAGAAGGCCUUCGGGUUGUAAAGCACUUUUGUCCGGAAAGAAAUCCUUGGCCCUAAUACGGUCGGGGGAUGACGGUACCGGAAGAAUAAGCACCGGCUAACUACGUG